AGUUCGUGGAAUGAUUUGUCUGGUUAAUUCCGAUAACGAACGUGACUCAAUCAAAUUAACUAGAAUAUUGUCAGUAGUCAGAUGUUGAUGGUGUUAUUGGUUCAAAAAGUGUUGGUUGGCAAGCAAUUGUUAAUUACAUUUUUUACUUUAAUAUCCGGAGUAUGACCUGAUAGUAAGUCAAUUUUUAUCGGUUGACAACUGCUUAAUAGGACAAUUUGUGUUCAGCAAAAUGAGAUUGAGCGAUAACAGGU
RNAcentral lists this ribosomal RNA (251 nucleotides) under Metazoa environmental sample. Its description in RNAcentral is "partial small subunit ribosomal RNA". It matches the Rfam family "Eukaryotic small subunit ribosomal RNA", at positions 1296 to 1461 of the family's 1831-position model. Lineage: Eukaryota; Metazoa. The record is from RNAcentral.